Molecule: transfer RNA, 73 nt
Filed under: Daphnia galeata
Lineage: Eukaryota; Metazoa; Arthropoda; Branchiopoda; Diplostraca; Daphniidae
Rfam family: tRNA
About the family: Transfer RNA (tRNA) molecules are approximately 80 nucleotides in length.
Source: Rfam by way of RNAcentral
GCCCGCUUAGCUCAGACGGUAGAGCGCGGGACUUUUAAUCCUGAGGUCGAGGGUUCAAGUCCCUUAUCGGGUG